This 66-nucleotide ribosomal RNA is filed under the name Campylobacter sp. BCW_8712. Its description in RNAcentral is "partial 16S ribosomal RNA". It matches the Rfam family "Bacterial small subunit ribosomal RNA", at positions 1 to 64 of the family's 1533-position model. The record is from RNAcentral. Lineage: Bacteria; Pseudomonadati; Campylobacterota; Epsilonproteobacteria; Campylobacterales; Campylobacteraceae.
UUAUUAUGGAGAGUUUGAUCCUGGCUCAGAGUGAACGCUGGCGGCGUGCCUAAUACAUGCAAGUCG